GAUGAAGAACGUAGCAAAAUGCGAUAAGUAAUGUGAAUUGCAGAAUUCAGUGAAUCAUCGAAUCUUUGAACGCACAUUGCGCCCGCCAGUAUUCUGGCGGGCAUGCCUGUUCGAGCGUCAUUUCAACCCUCAAGCUCAGCUUGGUGUUGGGACUCGCGGUAACCCGCGUUCCCCAAAUCGAUUGGCGGUCACGUCGAGCUUCCAUAGCGUAGUAAUCAUACACCUCGUUACUGGUAAUCGCCGCGGCCACGCCGUAAAACCCCAACUUCUGAAUGUUGACCUCGGAUCAGGUAGGAAUACCCGCUGAACUUAAGCAUAUCAAUAAGCGGAGGA
RNAcentral lists this unclassified non-coding RNA (333 nucleotides) under soil metagenome. RNAcentral describes it as "partial contains 5.8S ribosomal RNA, internal transcribed spacer 2, and large subunit ribosomal RNA". The stretch from base 1 to 120 matches the Rfam family "5.8S ribosomal RNA", at positions 35 to 154 of the family's 154-position model. The record is from RNAcentral.